AAUAUUGCACAAUGGAGGAAACUCUGAUGCAGCGACGCCGCGUGAACGAUGAAGGCCUUCGGGUCGUAAAGUUCUGUCCUAGGGGACGAUAAUGACGGUACCCUAGGAGGAAGCCCCGGCUAACUACGUGCCUGCAGCCGCGGUAAUACGUAGGGGGCGAGCGUUAUCCGGAAGUAUUGGGCGUAAAGGGUGCGUAGGCGGCCUUUUAAGUCAGAUGUGAAAGGCUACGGCUUAACCGUAGUUAGCAUUUGAAACUAAAAGGCUUGAGUGCAGGAGAGGAGAGUGGAAUUCCUAGUGUAGCGGUGAAAUGCGUAGAUAUUAGGAGGAACACCAGUGGCGAAGGCGACUCUCUGGACUGCAACUGACGCUGAGGCACGAAAGCGUGGGGAGCGAACAGG
Molecule: ribosomal RNA, 398 nt
Filed under: uncultured bacterium
Lineage: Bacteria
Description: partial 16S ribosomal RNA
Rfam family: Bacterial small subunit ribosomal RNA
Source: RNAcentral